AGUGAACGCUGGCGGUAGGCCUAACACAUGCAAGUCGAACGGCAGCACAGUAAGAGCUUGCUCUUACGGGUGGCGAGUGGCGGACGGGUGAGGAAUACAUCGGAAUCUACUUUUUCGUGGGGGAUAACGUAGGGAAACUUACGCUAAUACCGCAUACGACCUACGGGUGAAAGCAGGGGAUCUUCGGACCUUGCGCGAUUGAAUGAGCCGGUGUCGGAUUAGCUAGUUGGCGGGGUAAAGGCCCACAAAGGCGACGAUCCGUAGCUGGUCUGAGAGGAUGAUCAGCCACACUGGAACUGAGACACGGUCCAGACUCCUACGGGAGGCAGCAGUGGGGAAUAUUGGACAAUGGGCGCAAGCCUGAUCCAGCCAUACCGCGUGGGUGAAGAAGGCCUUCGGGUUGUAAAGCCCUUUUGUUGGGAAAGAAAAGCAGCAGGUUAAUACCCCGCUGUUCUGACGGUACCCAAAGAAUAAGCACCGGCUAACUUCGUG
This 492-nucleotide ribosomal RNA is filed under the name uncultured bacterium. RNAcentral's name for it is "partial 16S ribosomal RNA". It matches the Rfam family "Bacterial small subunit ribosomal RNA", at positions 29 to 507 of the family's 1533-position model. The record is from RNAcentral.